RNAcentral lists this long non-coding RNA (1173 nucleotides) under Citrus x clementina. RNAcentral's name for it is "Citrus clementina (C. clementina) long non-coding RNA (CCLE_LNC005968)". The record is from RNAcentral. Lineage: Eukaryota; Viridiplantae; Streptophyta; Magnoliopsida; Sapindales; Rutaceae.
CAAAAAGCAAAGAUUAACCUCGAAGGAGAGCAACAACCACAAGAAUCAGGGGAAAUAAAAACUGAGGAAUCAGCAUUGAUGGACUCAGCUACAGCUUCAUUGACUGGCCCCCUUCAGAGCUCCAGAAUUGAAACUACGAAAGUGGCUGAACAAGUCGGCGAAGGGAGAGAACCAAAAGGCAGCACAGAAGAAAAUCAAACCAAAGAACCAGAAGCCAUUCAUGUAGAAGAUGCAAAAAUGGAUGAAGAACAAGACGGAGAUGAACAUAAAAGGAUAGACUCAAGCUCUGAUGCUCCGGUCAUGAUUGAAGCCAAAAGAGAUGUUGUGGAUGUUAGGGUUGCACAACUUGGUCACUGGCAAAGGAUGAGGAACCUAUUUGAAAUAAACUGAAACUAAUGUAUCGUUAUUUACUAAAAAUAAAAAUAUAGGGAACUCAAUGUUAUUUACUCGAUAAUCAAAUAUUUCAAUUUCUCAUAGUUACAUGUCACCUCUCGCAAGUCACAGGACUCUUCGUGACUCGAGUCGCUUCAUUCCCUCUUGCUUGCAGUCUCCGCCCAUUUUUGUAGCACAGAAAAAAAAACUAAUUUUCAUUUUUCAAUUCAAAGUCUGUGACUCUCAUCGAUCCAUAUAACACAACAAAACAACAAAUUUAACACAAAAAAAAGGAAUGUGUAAGCAAGUAUCCAAGAGAAUAGAAGAAAACCGAGCUUACUGAGUUACUUGGAGCUCUGAGACCUUUCGAAGAUCGAAUUAGUGGAAGAAAACAAAACUUCAGCUAACAAGAAAUCCCGAGAAGUCGAAGCGAGAGGGGCGGUGUGCACUUGAGUAGGGUGAGCAAAAUGUGGAGAUCUAAAGCAGGUCUUGUGAGCUUGUGGCAUAAUGACAUGGUGGAUGUUUUGCAUAAUGUAGAUCGUUAGGGUUUCGUAUGGUAUGGGUCUUAGAAUUUGAGCAGUGGUGUUAGGAUUUCUUAUGGCAUGGACCCUUGAAUUUUAGGGCUCGAAGUUUUAGAGGUAUGAAGAAGAAGAAGGAUAUCGCCAGAGAGAUGAGGCGGCUGGCCAUGAAUUUAGGAGUUAGGGAAUUUUAUGUUUAUGUUGAUUUAGGGUUUUUUGCUUUUGCUUUUAUAUUGUUGUUUUCUAUAUUAAUUUAAUUUGAUAAUUUCAACAUUAUCAACAC